Oncorhynchus keta (chum salmon) is the source of this 1675-nucleotide long non-coding RNA. RefSeq lists it as uncharacterized. NCBI's taxonomy places the organism in Eukaryota, Metazoa, Chordata, Actinopteri, Salmoniformes, Salmonidae. The record is from RefSeq and is a predicted model, not a curated record. The transcript is spliced from 10 exons.
AAGGGCUGUGGUGGUGGUUCUCCAAUCUAAACUCUGCUAUGGCAGGUGGUGGGUCUCCAAUCUAAACUCUGCUAUGGCAGGUGGUGGGUCUCCAAUCUAAACUCUGCUAUGGCAGGUGGUGGGUCUCCAAUCUAAACUCUGCUAUGGCAGGUGGUGGGUCUCCAAUCUAAACUCUGCUAUGGCAGGUGGUGGGUCUCCAAUCUAAACUCUGCUAUGGCAGGUGGUGGGUCUCCAAUCUAAACUCUGCUAUGGCAGGUGGUGGUUCUCCAAUCUAAACUCUGCUAUGGCAGGUGGUGGGUCUCCAAUCUAAACUCUGCUAUGGCAGGUGGUGGGUCUCCAAUCUAAACUCUGCUAUGGCAGGUGGUGGGUCUCCAAUCUAAACUCUGCUAUGGCAGGUGGUGGGUCUCCAAUCUAAACUCUGCUAUGGCUGGUGGUGGUUCUCCAAUCUAAACUCUGCUAUGGCUGGUGGUGGGUCUCCAAUCUAAACUCUGCUAUGGCAGGUGGUGGGUCUCCAAUCUAAACUCUGCUAUGGCUGGUGGUGGGUCUCCAAUCUAAACUCUGCUAUGGCUGGUGGUGGUUCUCCAAUCUAAACUCUGCUAUGGCUGGUGGUGGUUCUCCAAUCUAAACUCUGCUAUGGCUGGUGGUGGUUCUCCAAUCUAAACUCUGCUAUGGCUGGUGGUGGGUCUCCAAUCUAAACUCUGCUAUGGCUGGUGGUGGUUCUCCAAUCUAAACUCUGCUAUGGCUGGUGGUGGGUCUCCAAUCUAAACUCUGCUAUGGCUGGUGGUGGUUCUCCAAUCUAAACUCUGCUAUGGCUGGUGGUGGUUCUCCAAUCUAAACUCUGCUAUGGCUGGUGGUGGUUCUCCAAUCUAAACUCUGCUAUGGCUGGUGGUGGGUCUCCAAUCUAAACUCUGCUAUGGCAGGUGGUGGGUCUCCAAUCUAGACUCUGCUACGGCAGGUGGUGGGUCUCCAAUCUAGACUCUGCUAUGGCUGGUGGUGGGUCUCCAAUCUAGACUCUGCUAUGGCAGGUGGUGGGUCUCCAAUCUAAACUCUGCUAUGGCAGGUGGUGGGUCUCCAAUCUAAACUCUGCUAUGGCUGGUGGUGGGUCUCCAAUCUAAACUCUGCUAUGGCAGGUGGCGGGUCUCCAAUCUAAACUCUGCUAUGGCAGGUGGUGGGUCUCCAAUCUAAACUCUGCUAUGGCUGGUGGUGGGUCUCCAAUCUAGACUCUGCUAUGGCAGGUGGUGGGUCUCCAAUCUAAACUCUGCUAUGGCUGGUGGUGGGUCUCCAAUCUAAACUCUGCUAUGGCUGGUGGCGGGUCUCCAAUCUAAACUCUGCUAUGGCAGGUGGUGGGUCUCCAAUCUAAACUCUGCUAUGGCAGGUGGUGGGUCUCCAAUCUAAACUCUGCUAUGGCUGGUGGUGGGUCUCCAAUCUACACUCUGCUAUGGCUGGUGGCUGGUCUCCAAUCUAAACUCUGCUAUGGCAGGUGGUGGGUCUCCAAUCUAAACUCUGCUAUGGCAGGUGGUGGGUCUCCAAUCUACACUCUGCUAUGGCAGGUGGUGGGUCUCCAAUCUAAACUCUGCUAUGGCAGGUGGUGGGUCUCCAAUCUAAACUGUGCUAUGGCUGGUGGUGGGUCUCCAAUCUAGACUCUGCUGUGGCUGGUGGCAGGCCUCAGCCUCAU